This 267-nucleotide ribosomal RNA is filed under the name uncultured bacterium. Its description in RNAcentral is "partial 16S ribosomal RNA". It matches the Rfam family "Bacterial small subunit ribosomal RNA", at positions 524 to 792 of the family's 1533-position model. The record is from RNAcentral.
UACGGAGGGUGCGAGCGUUAAUCGGAAUUACUGGCGUAAAGCGCACGCAGGCGGUUUGUUAAGCAAGAUGUGAAAGCCCCGGGCUCAACCUGGGAACUGCAUUUUGAACUGGCAGACUAGAGUCUUGGAGAGGGGGGUGGAAUUCCAGGUGUAGCGGUGAAAUGCGUAGAGAUCUGGAGGAACAUCAGUGGCAAGAGGCCCGCCUGGCCAAAGACUGACGCUCAUGUGCGAAAGUGUGGGUAGCGAACAGGAUUAGACUACCCGGUC